RNAcentral lists this ribosomal RNA (253 nucleotides) under uncultured bacterium. Its description in RNAcentral is "partial 16S ribosomal RNA". It matches the Rfam family "Bacterial small subunit ribosomal RNA", at positions 524 to 776 of the family's 1533-position model. The record is from RNAcentral.
UACAGAGGUCCCAAGCGUUGUUCGGAUUCACUGGGCGUAAAGGGCUCGUAGGCGGUUUGUCGCGUCGGGAGUGAAAACCUCGGGCUUAACUCGGGGCUUGCUUUCGAUACGGGCAGACUGGAGGUAUGCAGGGGAGAACGGAAUUCCUGGUGUAGCGGUGAAAUGCGCAGAUAUCAGGAGGAACACCGGUGGCGAAGGCGGUUCUCUGGGCAUGACCUGACGCUGAGGAGCGAAAGUGUGGGGAGCGAACAGG